GUAGGGAAUAUUGGGCAAUGGGCGAAAGCCUGACCCAGCCAUGCCGCGUGCAGGAUGAAGGCCUUCUGGGUUGUAAACUGCUUUUCUACGGGAAGAAACACUCCGAUGCGUCGGGGGAUUGACGGUACUGUAGGAAUAAGCACCGGCUAACUCCGUGCCAGCAGCCGCGGUAAUACGGAGGGUGCAAGCGUUGUCCGGAUUUACUGGGUUUAAAGGGUGCGUAGGCGGAUUGUUAAGUCAGUGGUGAAAGCCUGCGGCUUAACCGCAGAAGUGCCAUUGAUACUGGCAAUCUUGAGUACAGUGGAGGUAGGCGGAAUUUAUGGUGUAGCGGUGAAAUGCAUAGAUACCAUAAAGAACACCUAUAGCGAAGGCAGCUUACUACGCUGUAACUGACGCUGAGGCACGAAAGCGUGGGGAUCAAACAGGAUUAGAAACCCCGGUAGUCC
This 446-nucleotide ribosomal RNA is filed under the name uncultured bacterium. Its description in RNAcentral is "bacterial SSU rRNA". It matches the Rfam family "Bacterial small subunit ribosomal RNA", at positions 354 to 796 of the family's 1533-position model. The record is from RNAcentral.